This is an RNA transcript of Piliocolobus tephrosceles (Ugandan red Colobus), 519 nucleotides long. It is a transcript of the gene named ferritin light chain pseudogene, with no coding region annotated. The record is from RefSeq and is a predicted model, not a curated record. Lineage: Eukaryota; Metazoa; Chordata; Mammalia; Primates; Cercopithecidae. The transcript has a single exon.
AUGAGGUCCCGGAUUCAUCAGAAUUAUUCUACCGACGUGGAGGCAGCCGUCAACAGCCUGGUAAAUGUGUACCUUCAGGCCUCCUACACUUACCUCUCCCUGGGCUUCUAUUUUGACCGUGAUGAUGUGGCUCUGGAAGGCGUGAGCCACUUCUUCCACAAAUUGGCCAAGGAGAAGCGUGAGGGCUACAAGCGUCUCCUGAAGAUGCAAAACCAGCAUGGCGGCCGUGCUGUCUUCCAGGACAUCAAGAAGCCAGCUGAAGAUGAGUGGGGUAAAACCCCGGAUGCCAUGAAAGCCGCCAUGGCCCUGGAGAAAAAGCUGAACCAGGCCCUUUUGGAUCUUUAGGCCCUGGGUUCUGCCCACACAGACCCCCAUCUCUGUGACUUCCUGGAGACUCACUUCCUAGAUGAGGAAGUGAAGCUCAUCAAGAAGAUGGGUGACCACCUGACCAACCUCCACAGGCAGGCUGGCUGGCCUGGCGGCUGGGCUGGGCAAGUAUCUCUUCCAAAGGCUCACUCU